Molecule: ribosomal RNA, 216 nt
Filed under: Bacillus thuringiensis
Lineage: Bacteria; Bacillati; Bacillota; Bacilli; Caryophanales; Bacillaceae
Description: partial 16S ribosomal RNA
Rfam family: Bacterial small subunit ribosomal RNA
Source: RNAcentral
GGAUUAUUGGGCGUAAGCGCGCGCAGGUGGUUUCUUAAGUCUGAUGUGAAAGCCCACGGCUCAACCGUGGAGGGUCAUUGGAAACUGGGAGACUUGAUGAGAAGAGGAAAGUGGAAUUCCAUGUGUAGCGGUGAAUGCGUAGAGAUAUGGAGGAACACCAGUGGCGAAGGCGACUUUCUGGUCUGUAUCUGACACUGAGGCGGGAAAACGCGGGGA